This 1674-nucleotide ribosomal RNA is filed under the name Escherichia coli. RNAcentral describes it as "partial 23S ribosomal RNA". It matches the Rfam family "Bacterial large subunit ribosomal RNA", at positions 1273 to 2925 of the family's 2925-position model. The record is from RNAcentral. Lineage: Bacteria; Pseudomonadati; Pseudomonadota; Gammaproteobacteria; Enterobacterales; Enterobacteriaceae.
CUGGAGGUAUCAGAAGUGCGAAUGCUGACAUAAGUAACGAUAAAGCGGGUGAAAAGCCCGCUCGCCGGAAGACCAAGGGUUCCUGUCCAACGUUAAUCGGGGCAGGGUGAGUCGACCCCUAAGGCGAGGCCGAAAGGCGUAGUCGAUGGGAAACAGGUUAAUAUUCCUGUACUUGGUGUUACUGCGAAGGGGGGACGGAGAAGGCUAUGUUGGCCGGGCGACGGUUGUCCCGGUUUAAGCGUGUAGGCUGGUUUUCCAGGCAAAUCCGGAAAAUCAAGGCUGAGGCGUGAUGACGAGGCACUACGGUGCUGAAGCAACAAAUGCCCUGCUUCCAGGAAAAGCCUCUAAGCAUCAGGUAACAUCAAAUCGUACCCCAAACCGACACAGGUGGUCAGGUAGAGAAUACCAAGGCGCUUGAGAGAACUCGGGUGAAGGAACUAGGCAAAAUGGUGCCGUAACUUCGGGAGAAGGCACGCUGAUAUGUAGGUGAAGUCCCUCGCGGAUGGAGCUGAAAUCAGUCGAAGAUACCAGCUGGCUGCAACUGUUUAUUAAAAACACAGCACUGUGCAAACACGAAAGUGGACGUAUACGGUGUGACGCCUGCCCGGUGCCGGAAGGUUAAUUGAUGGGGUUAGCGGUAACGCGAAGCUCUUGAUCGAAGCCCCGGUAAACGGCGGCCGUAACUAUAACGGUCCUAAGGUAGCGAAAUUCCUUGUCGGGUAAGUUCCGACCUGCACGAAUGGCGUAAUGAUGGCCAGGCUGUCUCCACCCGAGACUCAGUGAAAUUGAACUCGCUGUGAAGAUGCAGUGUACCCGCGGCAAGACGGAAAGACCCCGUGAACCUUUACUAUAGCUUGACACUGAACAUUGAGCCUUGAUGUGUAGGAUAGGUGGGAGGCUUUGAAGUGUGGACGCCAGUCUGCAUGGAGCCGGCCUUGAAAUACCACCCUUUAAUGUUUGAUGUUCUAACGUUGGCCCCUGAUCGGGGUUGCGGACAGUGUCUGGUGGGUAGUUUGACUGGGGCGGUCUCCUCCUAAAGAGUAACGGAGGAGCACGAAGGUUGGCUAAUCCUGGUCGGACAUCAGGAGGUUAGUGCAAUGGCAUAAGCCAGCUUGACUGCGAGCGUGACGGCGCGAGCAGGUGCGAAAGCAGGUCAUAGUGAUCCGGUGGUUCUGAAUGGAAGGGCCAUCGCUCAACGGAUAAAAGGUACUCCGGGGAUAACAGGCUGAUACCGCCCAAGAGUUCAUAUCGACGGCGGUGUUUGGCACCUCGAUGUCGGCUCAUCACAUCCUGGGGCUGAAGUAGGUCCCAAGGGUAUGGCUGUUCGCCAUUUAAAGUGGUACGCGAGCUGGGUUUAGAACGUCGUGAGACAGUUCGGUCCCUAUCUGCCGUGGGCGCUGGAGAACUGAGGGGGGCUGCUCCUAGUACGAGAGGACCGGAGUGGACGCAUCACUGGUGUUCGGGUUGUCAUGCCAAUGGCACUGCCCGGUAGCUAAAUGCGGAAGAGAUAAGUGCUGAAAGCAUCUAAGCACGAAACUUGCCCCGAGAUGAGUUCUCCCUGACUCCUUGAGAGUCCUGAAGGAACGUUGAAGACGACGACGUUGAUAGGCCGGGUGUGUAAGCGCAGCGAUGCGUUGAGCUAACCGGUACUAAUGAACCGUGAGGCUUAACCUU